This 253-nucleotide ribosomal RNA is filed under the name uncultured bacterium. RNAcentral describes it as "partial 16S ribosomal RNA". It matches the Rfam family "Bacterial small subunit ribosomal RNA", at positions 524 to 776 of the family's 1533-position model. The record is from RNAcentral.
UACGUAGGAUGCGAGCGUUAUCCGGAUUUAUUGGGUUUAAAGGGUGCGUAGGCGGUUUUAUAAGUCGUGGGUGAAAGUCAGAUGCUUAACAUCUGGAUUGCCUGCGAUACUGUAAGACUUGGAUGGGGCGGAGGUAACUGGAAUGACAGAUGUAGCGGUGAAAUGCAUAGAUAUCUGUUGGAACGCCAAUUGCGAAGGCAAGUUACUGUACCUUAAUUGACGCUGAGGCACGAAAGCGUGGGGAGCAAACAGG